This 2662-nucleotide ribosomal RNA is filed under the name Kingella kingae. RNAcentral's name for it is "partial 23S ribosomal RNA". It matches the Rfam family "Bacterial large subunit ribosomal RNA". Lineage: Bacteria; Pseudomonadati; Pseudomonadota; Betaproteobacteria; Neisseriales; Neisseriaceae. The record is from RNAcentral.
UCAACCGAGAUUCCGCAAGUAGUGGCGAGCGAACGCGGAAAAGCCUGUAUAUGAUAAUGGUUAAGAUAGAAGAAGGGAUUGGAAACUUCCGCCAUAGUGGGUGAUAGCCCCGUAUUUGAAAUCUUAACCAUGGUACUAAGUAUACGAGAAGUAGGGCGGGACACGUGAAAUCCUGUCUGAAUAUGGGGGGACCAUCCUCUAAGGCUAAAUACUCAUCAUCGACCGAUAGUGAACCAGUACCGUGAGGGAAAGGCGAAAAGAACCCCGGAAGGGGAGUGAAAUAGAACCUGAAACCUGAUGCAUACAUACAGUGGGAGCAUCUUUGUGGUGUGACUGCGUACCUUUUGUAUAAUGGGUCAACGACUUACAUUCAGUAGCGAGCUUAACCGAGUAGGGGAGGCGUAGGGAAACCGAGUCUUAAUAGGGCGACUAGUUGCUGGGUGUAGACCCGAAACCGAGUGAUCUAUCCAUGGCCAGGAUGAAGGUGCGGUAAAACGCAUUGGAGGUCCGAACCCACGCAUGUUGCAAAAUGCGGGGAUGAGCUGUGGAUAGGGGUGAAAGGCUAAACAAACUCGGAGAUAGCUGGUUCUCCCCGAAAACUAUUUAGGUAGUGCCUCGAGUAUGAGACUGAUGGGGGUAAAGCACUGUUAUGGCUAGGGGGUUAUUGCAACUUACCAACCCAUGGCAAACUAAGAAUACCAUCAAGUUGCUCCUCGGGAGACAGACAUCGGGUGCUAACGUCCGGUGUCAAGAGGGAAACAACCCAGACCGCCAGCUAAGGUCCCAAAUGAUAGAUUAAGUGGUAAACGAAGUGGGAAGGCACAGACAGCCAGGAUGUUGGCUUAGAAGCAGCCAUCAUUUAAAGAAAGCGUAAUAGCUCACUGGUCGAGUCUUCCUGCGCGGAAGAUGUAACGGGGCUCAAAUCUAUAACCGAAGCUGCGGAUAUACUUUUGUAUAUGGUAGGGGAGCGUUCUGUAGGCCUGUGAAGGUGACUUGUAAAGGUUGCUGGAGGUAUCAGAAGUGCGAAUGUUGACAUGAGUAGCGAUAAAGUGGGUGAAAAGCCCGCUCGCCGAAAGCCCAAGGUUUCCUACGCAACGUUCAUCGGCGUAGGGUGAGUCGGCCCCUAAGGCGAGGCAGAAAUGCGUAGUCGAUGGGAAACAGGUUAAUAUUCCUGUACUUUGAUUCAAUGCGAUGUGGGGACGGAGAAGGUUAGGUUAGCAAACUGUUGGAAUAGUUUGUUUAAGCCAGUAGGUGGAAAGAGUAGGCAAAUCCGCUCUUUCUUAACACCGAGACGUGAUGACGAGUGUCUACGGACAUGAAGUGACCAAUACCACGCUUCCAGGAAAAGCCACUAAGCUUCAGUUGAAUCAGAACCGUACCGCAAACCGACACAGGUGGGCAGGAUGAGAAUUCUAAGGCGCUUGAGAGAACUCGGGAGAAGGAACUCGGCAAAUUGAUACCGUAACUUCGGGAGAAGGUAUGCCCUCUAAUGUUAAGGACUUGCUCCGUAAGCAUCUGAGGGUCGCAGAGAAUCGGUGGCUGCGACUGUUUAUUAAAAACACAGCACUCUGCUAACACGAAAGUGGACGUAUAGGGUGUGACGCCUGCCCGGUGCUGGAAGGUUAAUUGAAGAUGUGCAAGCAUCGGAUCGAAGCCCCAGUAAACGGCGGCCGUAACUAUAACGGUCCUAAGGUAGCGAAAUUCCUUGUCGGGUAAGUUCCGACCCGCACGAAUGGCGUAACGAUGGCCACACUGUCUCCUCCCGAGACUCAGCGAAGUUGAAAUGGUUGUGAAGAUGCAAUCUCCCCGCUGCUAGACGGAAAGACCCCGUGAACCUUUACUGUAGCUUUGCAUUGGACUUUGAAGUCACUUGUGUAGGAUAGGUGGGAGGCUUUGAAGCAGAGACGCCAGUCUCUGUGGAGCCGUCCUUGAAAUACCACCCUGGUGACUUUGAGGUUCUAACCCAGACCCGUUAUCCGGGUCGGGGACCGUGCAUGGUAGGCAGUUUGACUGGGGCGGUCUCCUCCCAAAGAGUAACGGAGGAGUUCGAAGGUUACCUAGGUCCGGUCGGAAAUCGGACUGAUAGUGCAAUGGCAAAAGGUAGCUUAACUGCGAGACCGACAAGUCGAGCAGGUGCGAAAGCAGGACAUAGUGAUCCGGUGGUUCUGAAUGGAAGGGCCAUCGCUCAACGGAUAAAAGGUACUCCGGGGAUAACAGGCUGAUUCCGCCCAAGAGUCCAUAUCGACGGCGGAGUUUGGCACCUCGAUGUCGGCUCAUCACAUCCUGGGGCUGUAGUCGGUCCCAAGGGUAUGGCUGUUCGCCAUUUAAAGUGGUACGUGAGCUGGGUUUAAAACGUCGUGAGACAGUUUGGUCCCUAUCUGCAGUGGGCGUUGGAAGUUUGACGGGGGCUGCUCCUAGUACGAGAGGACCGGAGUGGACGAACCUCUGGUGUACCGGUUGUUUCGCCAGAAGCAUAGCCGGGUAGCUAAGUUCGGAAGAGAUAAGCGCUGAAAGCAUCUAAGCGCGAAACUCGCCCAAAGAUGAGACUUCCCUUGUGGUUUAACCAUACUAAAGAGUCGUUCGAGACCAGGACGUUGAUAGGUUGGGUGUGGAAGAGUGGUAACACUUGAAGCUAACCAAUACCUGUCUCUUAUACACAUCU